UAUUAUCACCCCUAUCAUGCAUUUCGAUUACGUUCCCGCUCUACGCUCCGCCGGAGUCGAAAUUAGGUAUCAUGCGUUACGAUUGGAUUGAAGGAAGAAGAGGAAGAGCUAUAACUCUUUCGAAAUCAGCUGUUUGCUUUGAAAUAUGUGAAACUGGAACAUCACAAAGCAAAAAUGCACAAAUUACUGCUGUUCAAAGAAAAUAAAUAAAAGUAAAAUUUUUAUAUUGUUAUUAUUUUUAUUAAACGUAACUAUGGAAUCUUUAUCCGCGGCGAUAUUACUGGUUGAGGAGGAGAGCAGCGCAUCUCAGAAUGCUGGGAUGAGAAUUGAAAGAAGAAGAUUACGAGAUAUGUGCGAUCCCUUCCAGAUGAAUGACGGGCUAUUCAGAAAAACUUUCGUCUGAAUAAGGACGCAUGUCCUAGAUACGUUUGCGGAAGAAACGACGGCAAGUAAAUUUGAUGCUACCUCUUUCCAAAAAGCCUGCACAUCUUCCUUAGGACGCUGGUGGAAACCGUUGGCUAUAUCUAGCUUACUCUCCACCAUAUCUGCCAAUUUUCCAUAUUGCUCUGGUGUUGUUGUUUUUGACCUGAAAGCAUAUCAAAAAACAUCACUAAAACUGGAAAUGUCGUGUGUUUUACAACUCUUAAAUAAAUACAAGUUUUACUUACAUUUUUAGAAAAUUAAAAAAAAAUCACGCAAAUAAUAAUAUUUUCGCAGCAAAAUAAAAACACAAAAAGUUCUCCGCCAACAAAAUUGCAAUUUAGCAAAACGGAGCUACGAUCGAAAUGCAUGAUAGGCAGAAUUGUAAAUUUCGAAGUUGAACUGAACGGGAACGGAACGCAUGAUACCAAAGUCGCCAAACGGAGAAAAUUUCAAUCCAAGUCGAAA
Bactrocera dorsalis (oriental fruit fly) is the source of this 888-nucleotide long non-coding RNA. RefSeq lists it as uncharacterized. The transcript is spliced from 2 exons. The record is from RefSeq and is a predicted model, not a curated record. NCBI's taxonomy places the organism in Eukaryota, Metazoa, Arthropoda, Insecta, Diptera, Tephritidae.